GAUGAACGCUGGCGGCGUGCCUAAUACAUGCAAGUCGAGCGAACAGACGAGGAGCUUGCUCCUCUGACGUUAGCGGCGGACGGGUGAGUAACACGUGGAUAACCUACCUAUAAGACUGGGAUAACUUCGGGAAACCGGAGCUAAUACCGGAUAAUAUAUUGAACCACAUGGUUCAAUAGUGAAAGACGGUUUUGCUGUCACUUAUAGAUGGAUCCGCGUCGCAUUAGCUAGUUGGUAAGGUAACGGCUUACCAAGGCAACGAUGCGUAGCCGACCUGAGAGGGUGAUCGGCCACACUGGAACUGAGACACGGUCCAGACUCCUACGGGAGGCAGCAGUAGGGAAUCUUCCGCAAUGGGCGAAAGCCUGACGGAGCAACGCCGCGUGAGUGAUGAAGGUCUUCGGAUCGUAAAGCUCUGUUAUUAGGGAAGAACAAAUGUGUAAGUAACUAUGCACGUCUUGACGGUACCUAAUCAGAAAGCCACGGCUAACUACGUG
Molecule: ribosomal RNA, 497 nt
Filed under: uncultured bacterium
Lineage: Bacteria
Description: partial 16S ribosomal RNA
Rfam family: Bacterial small subunit ribosomal RNA
Source: RNAcentral